RNAcentral lists this ribosomal RNA (143 nucleotides) under Azospirillum sp. Azo-BM30. RNAcentral's name for it is "partial 16S ribosomal RNA". It matches the Rfam family "Bacterial small subunit ribosomal RNA", at positions 92 to 254 of the family's 1533-position model. Lineage: Bacteria; Pseudomonadati; Pseudomonadota; Alphaproteobacteria; Rhodospirillales; Azospirillaceae. The record is from RNAcentral.
UUAGUGGCGCACGGGUGAGUAACACGUGGGAACCUGCCUUUCGGUUCGGAAUAACGUCUGGAAACGGACGCUAACACCGGAUACGCCCUUCGGGGGAAAGUUUACGCCGAGAGAGGGGCCCGCGUCGGAUUAGGUAGUUGGUG